Molecule: ribosomal RNA, 460 nt
Filed under: uncultured bacterium
Lineage: Bacteria
Description: partial 16S ribosomal RNA
Rfam family: Bacterial small subunit ribosomal RNA
Source: RNAcentral
CCUACGGGAGGCAGCAGUGAGGAAUAUUGGUCAAUGGACGAGAGUCUGAACCAGCCAAGUAGCGUGAAGGAUGACUGCCCUAUGGGUUGUAAACUUCUUUUAUAAAGGAAUAAAACGAGGCACGUGUGCCUUUUUGCAUGUACUUUAUGAAUAAGGAUCGGCUAACUCCGUGCCAGCAGCCGCGGUAAUACGGAGGAUCCGAGCGUUAUCCGGAUUUAUUGGGUUUAAAGGGAGCGUAGAUGGGUUGUUAAGUCAGUUGUGAAAGUUUGCGGCUCAACAGUAAAAUUGCAAUUGAUACUGGCAGUCGUGAGUACAGUUGAGGUAAGCGGAAUUCGUGGUGUAGCGGUGAAAUGCUUAGAUAUCACGAAGAACCCCGAUUGCGAAGGCAGCUUACUAAACUGUGACUGACAUUGAUGCUCGAAAGUGUGGGUAUCAAACAGGAUUAGAUACCCUGGUAGUC